Heterocephalus glaber (naked mole-rat) is the source of this 1247-nucleotide non-coding RNA. The record is from RefSeq and is a predicted model, not a curated record. NCBI's taxonomy places the organism in Eukaryota, Metazoa, Chordata, Mammalia, Rodentia, Bathyergidae.
UUUUACAUUUAUUAAAGGUAGGGAAAUACAGGCUCUGUAGAGUGAGUUCGGGCCAAGUACACGUAGGAAAAAGGGGGGAAAAUACACCCUACAGCAUAGGGUGGGAUACUGUGAAGACACACUAGAGUGAGCACUGAAGGGUUACAGUCUCUUCUUUGUAUUUUCCACACUGGCCUCAUGUCCAGGUCAUCCUAUCAAAAACCUGCUUGAGUUCUCGCGAGAAGUCCACAUGCAGGGCUUUGGGAGUGGUUCUGCGCAUGUGUCCCGGGAUUUUGUCGCGUACUUUCUCAGCCAUUCCUGCCUUCCUGCCUCAGAGGGCUGAGUGAUCACCUCAGCUGAGUUGGGGGAUCCUUCCUUCUAUCCUUUGCUUUCACUCCAGAGAAAGAAGAGGACGAAAAGAAGUUUUCAAAGACAAUCCCUUUCCAAAUCCUAAAGAAGAUAAUUAACAUUGGGACACAUGGAAUCUGCUAAGCACUGAACUGGCCAGCUUCCACGAAUUAUCUGAUAAGCAUCUUUUGAGGCCAUCACCAGGUGAAGAAUCAAGAGCUGAACAUACAAAACGUAUUAAGCAGUUCCUACAAUUGUGGAUCGAACUCAGGACCUUGCGUUUGUGAGACAGACAUGGCACCACUGAGCUAAAUCCCCAGCCCACAGUGGACCCUUUUGACUUAUGAAUUUAAUUGGUUCUCAAGGACUGGUUGUAACUAAGUCAAUGCAGGCAAACAUCUCAGCUGCCCAUUAUCAAAAUCCCUGAUUGAGUGAUUUUUCUCUUCAGAGAAGAAGGAGAGUGUAUCAAAUGAGUGGUCAAAAGGACAAGCUUUGGAGUUGGAAAGAUCACUCUGGCAGCAAUUUGAUGAAGUGAAUUGAAUGCAAGGCUGGAAGAGAGAAAAGAAGUUGCAAUAAAAUUCUGACAAUGAAUGAUGGAGACCUUCGCUAAUGGGAAAAGAGAGGCAGAGAUGGUUCAAGAGAAAAAGGGGAAUGGAUAGAACUGAGUAAGUUCAUGCCAGGUGAUCAUGAUGCCAUCGUACAAGAACCAAAACAAGAAGCAAAACAAGAGAACAGGAUGGAUGGCAUCUUUUCUUCUUCCUUACUUUCUGUUUUUAUGAUGAUAUUGUCUUGUCUGUUUUAUUUUAUUUUUAUCUCUUUUUCUCCCUGAGCAGUCUUUAUUUUCUGCACUCUGUAUAUAAAAGAUUAAUGUUUGGAAAGAACAUGAUUUGGAUUGACAUAAAUCUGGAUUGAAAUGAUAA